This 253-nucleotide ribosomal RNA is filed under the name uncultured bacterium. Its description in RNAcentral is "partial 16S ribosomal RNA". It matches the Rfam family "Bacterial small subunit ribosomal RNA", at positions 524 to 776 of the family's 1533-position model. The record is from RNAcentral.
UACAGAGGGUGCAAGCGUUGUUCGGAAUUAUUGGGCGUAAAGGGCGCGUAGGCGGUGCGGUAAGUCACCUGUGAAAACUCUGGGCUCAACUCAGAGCCUGCAGGCGAAACUGCCGUGCUUGAGUGUGGGAGAGGUGCGUGGAAUUCCCAGUGUAGAGGUGAAAUGCGUAGAUAUCGGGAGGAACACCUGUGGCGAAAGCGGCGCACUGGACCACAACUGACGCUGAGGCGCGAAAGCUAGGGGAGCAAACAGG